GACUAGGUAGCUCAUUUGGAAGAGCAACUCAACUAGGUUGGGGAGGUUCCAGGUUCAAAUCCUGGUCUAGUAC
This 73-nucleotide transfer RNA is filed under the name Mytilus galloprovincialis (Mediterranean mussel). It matches the Rfam family "tRNA". From Rfam's summary of the family: Transfer RNA (tRNA) molecules are approximately 80 nucleotides in length. The record is from Rfam by way of RNAcentral. Lineage: Eukaryota; Metazoa; Mollusca; Bivalvia; Mytilida; Mytilidae.